Molecule: ribosomal RNA, 253 nt
Filed under: uncultured bacterium
Lineage: Bacteria
Description: partial 16S ribosomal RNA
Rfam family: Bacterial small subunit ribosomal RNA
Source: RNAcentral
UACGUAGGGUGCGAGCGUUGUCCGGAAUUAUUGGGCGUAAAGGGCUCGUAGGCGGUUUGUCGCGUCGGGAGUGAAAACCUUGGGCUUAACUCAGGGCUUGCUUUCGAUACGGGCAGACUAGAGGUAUGCAGGGGAGAACGGAAUUCCUGGUGUAGCGGUGAAAUGCGCAGAUAUCAGGAGGAACACCGGUGGCGAAGGCGGUUCUCUGGGCAUGAUCUGACACUGAGGAGCGAAAGUGUGGGGAGCGAACAGG